This 298-nucleotide unclassified non-coding RNA is filed under the name uncultured fungus. RNAcentral's name for it is "partial contains 5.8S ribosomal RNA, internal transcribed spacer 2, and large subunit ribosomal RNA". The record is from RNAcentral. Lineage: Eukaryota; Fungi.
AACGCACCUUGCGCUCCUUGGUAUUCCUUGGAGCAUGCCUGUUUGAGUGUCUUGAAAUUCUCUACUAUCCAACUUUUUUCACGAAAGGCUGGACAAGUAGGUGCCUGGGCUUGCUUGCGGUUUGGUUACAGACACACGCUCGCCUUAAAUGCAUUAGCUGGACUUCAGUAGAGUUGUUAAGUAACAUUGAAAACUCUUGUCAUCGAAGUCUGCUUUCGAAUCUGUCUCCUCUUCUGAGGUAGAUGUAUAUUUUUUCAAUUUUGGCCUCAAAUCAGGUAGGACUACCCGCUGAACUUAA